GAUGAACGCUGGCGGCGUGCCUAAUACAUGCAAGUAGAACGCUGAAGCUUGGUGCUUGCCCCGAGCGGAUGAGUUGCGAACGGGUGAGUAACGCGUAGGUAACCUGCCUCUUAGCGGGGGAUAACUAUUGGAAACGAUAGCUAAUACCGCAUAAAAGUCGAUAUCGCAUGAUAUUGAUUUGAAAGGUGCAAAUGCAUCACUAAGAGAUGGACCUGCGUUGUAUUAGCUAGUUGGUGAGGUAACGGCUCACCAAGGCGACGAUACAUAGCCGACCUGAGAGGGUGAUCGGCCACACUGGGACUGAGACACGGCCCAGACUCCUACGGGAGGCAGCAGUAGGGAAUCUUCGGCAAUGGGGGCAACCCUGACCGAGCAACGCCGCGUGAGUGAAGAAGGUUUUCGGAUCGUAAAGCUCUGUUGUAAGAGAAGAACGAGUGUGAGAGUGGAAAGUUCACACUGUGACGGUAACUGACCAGAAAGGGACGGCUAACUACGUG
This 497-nucleotide ribosomal RNA is filed under the name uncultured bacterium. RNAcentral describes it as "partial 16S ribosomal RNA". It matches the Rfam family "Bacterial small subunit ribosomal RNA", at positions 28 to 507 of the family's 1533-position model. The record is from RNAcentral.